GGCCCGUUGGUGUAAUUGGUUAGCACGUCAGACUUUCAAUCUGAAGGGACAUAGAGCAUUGCGAGUUCGAACCUCGCACGGGUCA
RNAcentral lists this transfer RNA (85 nucleotides) under Nitrososphaeria archaeon. RNAcentral describes it as "tRNA-Glu". It matches the Rfam family "tRNA". From Rfam's summary of the family: Transfer RNA (tRNA) molecules are approximately 80 nucleotides in length. Their secondary structure includes four short double-helical elements and three loops (D, anti-codon, and T loops). The record is from RNAcentral. Lineage: Archaea; Thermoproteati; Nitrososphaerota; Nitrososphaeria.